Molecule: ribosomal RNA, 493 nt
Filed under: uncultured bacterium
Lineage: Bacteria
Description: bacterial SSU rRNA
Rfam family: Bacterial small subunit ribosomal RNA
Source: RNAcentral
GAUCAUGGCUCAGAUUGAACGCUGGCGGCAUGCCUUACACAUGCAAGUCGAACGGUAACGGGCCUUCGGGUGCCGACGAGUGGCGAACGGGUGAGUAAUGCAUCGGAACGUACCUUCAGUGGGGAUAACGUAGCGAAAGUUACGCUAAUACCGCAUAUUCUGUGAGCAGGAAAGCAGGGGAUCGCAAGACCUUGCGCUGAUUGAGCGGCCGAUGUCAGAUUAGCUAGUUGGUGAGGUAAAGGCUCACCAAGGCGACGAUCUGUAGCGGGUCUGAGAGGAUGAUCCGCCACACUGGAACUGAGACACGGUCCAGACUCCUACGGGAGGCAGCAGUGGGGAAUUUUGGACAAUGGGGGCAACCCUGAUCCAGCCAUGCCGCGUGAGUGAAGAAGGCCUUCGGGUUGUAAGGCUCUUUCGGCCGGGAAGAAAUCGCAUGGGUUAAUACCCUGUGCGGAUGACGGUACCGGCAUAAGAAGCACCGGCUAACUACGUG